CGCCAGGGGAUUACGAGCAAUGCUUAAAACCCAAAGGAUUUGACGGUGUCCCACCCCGCUAGAGGAGCCUGUUCUAUAAUCGAUGAUCCCCGCUUCACCUAACCAUCCCUCGCCUAUCAGUCUGUAUACCUCCGUCGAAAGCUUACCAUGUGAACGCCCGCAGUAGGCUCAAUGAUUUACCAUCAACACGUCAGGUCAAGGUGCAGCUCAAGGAAUGGAAAGUAAUGGGCUACAAUUUCUAACUUAGAACAAACGAAAGACUAUGUGAAACCCUAGUCAUGAAGGUGGAUUUAGUAGUAAAAAGAAAGUAGAGUGUUCUUUUUAACCCGGCC
Molecule: ribosomal RNA, 332 nt
Filed under: Rana graeca (Greek frog)
Lineage: Eukaryota; Metazoa; Chordata; Amphibia; Anura; Ranidae
Description: partial 12S ribosomal RNA
Rfam family: Bacterial small subunit ribosomal RNA
Source: RNAcentral